UUCCCUUGGUGAUUCAUAAUAACUUCUCGAAUCGCAUGGGCAGGCGAUGCUUCAUUCAAAUAUCUGCCCUAUCAACUUUCGAUGGUAGGAUAGAAGGCCUACCAUGGUUUCAACGGGUAACGGGGAAUAAGGGUUCGAUUCCGGAGAGGGAGCCUGAGAAACGGCUACCACAUCCAAGGAAGGCAGCAGGCGCCGCAAAUUACCCAAUCCCGACACGGGGAGGUAGUGACAAUAAAUAACAAUAUAGGGCUCUUUUGGGUCUUAUAAUUGGAAUGAGUACAAUUUAAAUCCCUCAACGAGGAACAAUUGGAGGGCAAGUCUGGUGCCAGCAGCCGCGGUAAUUCCAGCUCCAAUAGCGUAUAUUAAAGUUGUUGCAGUUAAAAAGCUCGUAGUUGAACUUCAGACCUGGCUGGGCGGUCCGCUUAACGGCGUGUACUGUCUGGCCUGGGCCUUACCUCUUGGUGAGCCGGCGUGCCCUUUAUUGGUGUGCG
RNAcentral lists this ribosomal RNA (491 nucleotides) under Pleurotus ostreatus (oyster mushroom). RNAcentral describes it as "SSU rRNA". It matches the Rfam family "Eukaryotic small subunit ribosomal RNA", at positions 238 to 731 of the family's 1831-position model. Lineage: Eukaryota; Fungi; Basidiomycota; Agaricomycetes; Agaricales; Pleurotaceae. The record is from RNAcentral.